RNAcentral lists this ribosomal RNA (3461 nucleotides) under Triticum aestivum (bread wheat). Its description in RNAcentral is "partial small subunit ribosomal RNA". Lineage: Eukaryota; Viridiplantae; Streptophyta; Magnoliopsida; Poales; Poaceae. The record is from RNAcentral.
GAAGAAUAUAGCUCCAGGAGCAUACUAGAGAAGAGAAGGUAUGUUCUUGCAAAGAAAGAAGGAAGUAGGAGGGCCAAUGGAAGAUGUGAUCGACGGGAUCAAAUCCCUAGCGCUCUCAAUUCCCAAAAUCAGGUCUGGCAUCUCCAUCUCCUCUCUCCCCCGCCUCCUUCUCCACCUCCGGCCGCCGUCGCGGCCAGGCCGGCGUGGCUGCGCGCCAUCACGCCAUCACCAGCAUCCACCAGCGCCACCAGCAACUCCCCACGCCUCCACCAGCGCCACCAGCAACUCCCCAAGCCUCCACCAGCGCCGCCCCCACCAGUGUUGCCAGCUGCCAGCGCCCAUCUCGCGCGCCCCUUCGGACACGGGCGCGGCGGUGUCUGGCUGCCCGCACGACCCAGCACCAGCGCCUCCGCACACCAUCCAUCCAUUCGAUGCACUGCAACCCAUCCACCAUCACUACCACGAGCCCCUUGCUGCACCUCACGCCACCAAUCUAAAUCUCUUCUUCCAAAUCUUGCUAUUGUUCUUCCAAAUCUUGCUGCUAUUCAUCAUUGGUACUGCCCGCAGUUCUCUUCUCUCCAACCUUCAUCUCCUCACACCCACGCUCCUGCUCCUUCUCUCUUUCUCUCCCUGCCGCCCCACUGCUGCUCCUCUUCUCUCUCAAUGAUUGUUGCUGCUGAUGCCCGCAACCUCCUGUUGCUGCUCCUUCCACGCCCAAGCUGCUGCUCUUCUCUCAACCCCACGUUGCUGCUCCAUCUCUCUACUUCCUUUGCUCCCCUUCUUCUUCUCUGAACUCAAACUGCUGUCGCGUCUCUUCUCUCUUUAAUUCUUGCAAAUUUCUGUAAAGGUGAACCUUGUGUACUGUUCUAAACACCCAAUUUGUGCUUAUUUUAUGUAUGUAUCAGUGUCUGCAAUAUAUGUGAAACUGUGAGUUGUUGAGCCGAUCAUUUCCGAGUAGACUUGUACUGUCAUAUAUUGUGAGUCAUAUAUAUUUAUAAAUUCGUGAGUGUGGUUAAUUCUAGUAACUGUGGUGUUGCAUAUUUGUGGAUCUCAUGUACAUGUUUUAACCUAUGAAUUCCAUUGCUAUAGAACUCAAUGCUGCUCUACAUCAUCUUAAAUGUCCUUUUGUGAAAUCCUGUACUAUAAUGUUUUUGCCCCUUAUCCUUUAGGCUUGCCUGUGUUAGUAUUUUAAUUUCUUAAGCAAAACGAAAAUACCAAAAAGACGAUGAUUGAAAUCUCAACCUUCCUAUGCUUGUUUGUUUUUCUUUGUCGACAAUUUUCCAAAAUGAUAGUUUAGGUUUAUUUCCCUGUAAUCAUCACUUGAAUUGUGUUAACUAGAUUUAGCCGAGUAUAGUUGCUAUUGCCUAGUCCCUGUGGAGAACUUCAACAACCCACUGUUUGGACGUAAACCUCACUGUAUUUACAACUGAUCAUUUUGGCGCCAUUGCUGGGGAUUAGCGUCGAGCGAUUGUGUUAGGCUAUAUAUAGAUUAGGUUUUUCUUGUUUUAUUUUUGUGACAUUUAUAUGUGAUAUAUAUCUAACCCCUAACCACUGUUCUAGUUAUUUUCUCUUUCUUUUCUUGUUCGUUUUGUAGGUUGGACUGUCUUCUUGGAAAUGGCAUUCUACUUAGAUCAUUAUGUUUAUGUGAGAAAUAGCAUGGAAAGUGUUCAAGACAUGAUAAGUAAGAUUUCCCAUCAAUUAGUCAUGAUACUUAUCCUAGAGGCCAUCCUUAUGUUGAUCCUACAUGCCAUAUUUGUGGAUUUCAGGGCCAUUCACAUGCUCAUUGUCAGCGUGGUUACUCUCACCCUCCAGGUUGUUUUGGCAUGAGCUUCGCUCAAGAGCAUAACUCAUACCAAAACAAUUACUCACAUGGGUGGUCUGAAAACCUGAAUAUGUCAUAUAGGAGCAACAACCCUGAGAUCUCAUCAUUUGCCUCUAGUUAUCCAAUGCAGGGAUUUAGGUAUGAAGAGGAGAGCAACAAUUAUGCACCACAAUUAUUCAGCUCCUAUUCAUGUACCUCAACACUUAGAGAUAUGCCCGUUGGAGUUAAAUGGUCCUCCAUUUGGUCAACGAAUUACUCCAGCACCAAAUGAGGCGUUAGAGCAAUCUCAUGUGCAAGUGCCCACACAAGAUGAGUUCGCUGACAUAGAACACAUUUGAGUCUCGAGUUCACUUGGAGUGCUAAGGAUGAUCCUAUUAGGAAGGUUAUACUAGAGAAAAUGAAGAAGAUUAAGAGUGGAAAAGAGCUAGUGGAAGAAGUAAGGAAGAUAGAGAAGAAUAUGAAUGUUGGAAGUACUAUCUCAUCACUACUCGAGCUGAGUGUUUUCUGGGAUUCCCCUUGAUACAUGUGAGGUUCCAACACCGUCACAUCCAGCUGAGCAAGAUAGCAAGAGCCCAGAGGAAGAAAGACCUCAGAUUGAAGAAUAAAUACUCGAAGACAAGGAACAAGAUGAUCCAGAGCUGGAAUUCCCAAGUGAUGAAGAUGAAGACAAAAGAUCUACUACUCUUGAAGAAGUAAAAGAAGUUGUUGUAGUUGAAGAUGAAGAAUUAGAGAUUCAAUUGCCUAUCAUCAUUCAAGAGUGUGAUAUUGCAGGUUUAUCUAAUCCUCUUGAUGACAUGCGUCCGUAUAAUCUAUUUGCUACUACCUUGCAUUACAUGAUACCAUCACUUAAGAUUGAUUUGAAAGCUCAUUUGCUUGGAUAUGAUGAUACAUACACUGUUGGUGGCAUUGCUCUCAUUUAUGAUGAUGACAUUUAUUCUCCUCAUGCUAGACCUAUGCUUAAUGAUAAAUAUCAUCCUCAUGUUAGUAUUGAGCUUGCUGAUUCCUAUCAUACUCGUCAUGUUCUAUAUUCCUAUGCUUAUGUAAUUGGAUACUCGAUUGACGACUUAGAGGGCUUCGACCAUAUCACUUGUAGUCGUUGUUUGCGUGAGUCAUAUUUCAGGUUUUUGCUUGUGCACGAAUCAAUAGAUGCUGACUAGGUUCGAGGUGACAUCGCUUGGGAUCCCAGUGGAGUUAGAGCAUGGCGAUGAGAAGCAGUGGGGCACACAUAUGGAAGAGUGAAGCUGGAGCUUGCAUGUAGAAGCAAAAGGAGAAGAGCUACAGUUCAUAGAGUGAUUGUGCGAGACCUACAUCAUAUAAGUCGGAUGUCGGAGCCCAGGAGCCAGAUGCCACCGUCGAUGCCUACUACUACGUGGAGACCGCCGACGAUCAGGAGUAGUUAGGAGGCUCCUAAGCAGGAGGCCUUGCCUUUUCGAUCAAUGUUGCUUUUGUGCUAGCCUUCUUAAGGCAAACUUGUCUAACUUAUGUCUGUACUCAGAUAUUGUUGCUUCCGCUGACUCUUGUGUAUUCGAGCUUAUGUAUUCGAGCCCUCGAGGCCCCUGGCUUGUAAUAUAAAGCUUGUAUUAUUUUAAUUUGUGUCUAGAGUUGUAUUGUGAUAUCUUCCCGUGAGUCCUUAAUCUUG